CAGCAGCCGCGGUAAAACGGAGGGUGCGAGCGUUAAUCGGAAUUACUGGGCGUAAAGCGUACGCAGGCGGUUUGUUAAGUCAGAUGUGAAAUCCCCGAGCUUAACUCGGGAACUGCAUUUGAAACUGGCAGGCUAGAGUCUCGUAGAGGGGGGUAGAAUUCCAGGUGUAGCGGUGAAAUGCGUAGAGAUCUGGAGGAAUACCGGUGGCGAAGGCGGCCCCCUGGACGAAGACUGACGCUCAGGUACGAAAGCGUGGGGAGCAAACAGGAUUAGAUACCCGCGUAGUCCCUGUCUCUUAUAC
RNAcentral lists this ribosomal RNA (301 nucleotides) under uncultured bacterium. RNAcentral's name for it is "partial 16S ribosomal RNA". It matches the Rfam family "Bacterial small subunit ribosomal RNA", at positions 509 to 807 of the family's 1533-position model. The record is from RNAcentral.